RNAcentral lists this ribosomal RNA (253 nucleotides) under uncultured bacterium. Its description in RNAcentral is "partial 16S ribosomal RNA". It matches the Rfam family "Bacterial small subunit ribosomal RNA", at positions 524 to 776 of the family's 1533-position model. The record is from RNAcentral.
UACGGGGGGGGCAAGCGUUGUUCGGAAUUACUGGGCGUAAAGGGCGCGUAGGCGGUUCGAUAAGUCAGCUGUGAAAACCAUGGGCUUAACUCAUGGCCUGCAGUUGAGACUGUCGGGCUGGAGUGCGGUAGAGGGUAGUGGAAUUUCCGGUGUAGCGGUGAAAUGCGUAGAUAUCGGAAGGAACACCAGUGGCGAAGGCGGCUACCUGGACUGACACUGACGCUGAGGCGCGAGAGCGUGGGGAGCAAGCAGG